GAUCCUGGCUUAGGAUGAACGCUGGCGGCGUGCCUAACACAUGCAAGUCGAGCGGAGAUAAGUUGAAGCCUAGCGAUUCUUAUCUUAGCGGCGGAUGGGUGAGUAACACGUGGGUAACCUGCCCUGUACUGGGGAAUAACAGCUGGAAACGGCUGUUAAUGCCGCAUAUGCGCACGGAGCCGCAUGGCUUUGGGCGGAAAGAUUUAUCGGUACAGGAUGGGCCCGCGCCGGAUUAACUAGUUGGCGGGGUAACGGCCCACCAAGGUGAUGAUCCGUAGCCGACCUGAGAGGGUGACCGGCCACAUUGGGACUGAGACACGGCCCAAACUCCUACGGGAGGCAGCAGUGGGGGAUAUUGCACAAUGGGGGAAACCCUGAUGCAGCGACGCCGCGUGAAGGAUGACGUAUUUCGGUAUGUAAACUUCUAUCAGCGGGGAAGAAGAUGACGGUACCCGACUAAGAAGCCCCGGCUAACUACGUGCCAGCAGCGGC
RNAcentral lists this ribosomal RNA (492 nucleotides) under uncultured bacterium. Its description in RNAcentral is "bacterial SSU rRNA". It matches the Rfam family "Bacterial small subunit ribosomal RNA", at positions 15 to 518 of the family's 1533-position model. The record is from RNAcentral.